CCUACGGGUGGCAGCAGUGAGGAAUAUUGCUCAAUGGGGGCAACCCUGAACCAGCAACGCCGCGUGAAGGAUGAAUGUUUUCCGGUUUUAAAAUCCUUUUUUUAAAGGAGAUAAUUGCGGUAUCUAACCCCUACUCCCCGUCUCACUCCGUUCCAGCAGCCGCGGUACUACGGAGGGUGCCAGCGUUACUCGGAAUUACUGGGCGUAAACCGGGCUUAGGCGGGAUAGCAAGUCAGAUGUGAAAUCCUACGGCUUAACCAUAGAACUGCAUUUGAAACUGGUAUUCUAGAGUAUGGAAGAGGUAGGCGGAAUUCUUGGUGUAGGGGUAAAAUCCGUAGAGAUCAAGAGGAAUACGGAUUGCGAAGGCGACUUGCUAGA
RNAcentral lists this ribosomal RNA (378 nucleotides) under uncultured bacterium. Its description in RNAcentral is "partial 16S ribosomal RNA". It matches the Rfam family "Bacterial small subunit ribosomal RNA", at positions 338 to 733 of the family's 1533-position model. The record is from RNAcentral.